This is a non-coding RNA of Pelobates cultripes (western spadefoot toad), 254 nucleotides long. The record is from the annotation of a GenBank genome assembly. Lineage: Eukaryota; Metazoa; Chordata; Amphibia; Anura; Pelobatidae.
CACUUGUGUCCCUCUGUAAAUGCUGCGUGAUGUGUUCAGGUACCGAGGAUCGUUCGCGUGCCGAGAUAGUUUUUAAUGCAAAAUUUUAAUUCGACUUCCGAAUUGUUUGAGAACAGGAACGUUCGAGUUCUGAGGUUCCACUGUAUAUUUAAAAGCAGUGUGCAAAAACUGCAGAUCUCAUUUGUGCUGCCUUUCAAGCCCUCCUCUUCUAACCCUGCCCAUACAUUAUGUGACAGUUCAAUCACAGACUUCCC